RNAcentral lists this signal recognition particle RNA (148 nucleotides) under Pan troglodytes (chimpanzee). RNAcentral's name for it is "Metazoan signal recognition particle RNA". It matches the Rfam family "Metazoan signal recognition particle RNA". Rfam says of the family: The signal recognition particle (SRP) is a universally conserved ribonucleoprotein. It is involved in the co-translational targeting of proteins to membranes. The record is from Rfam by way of RNAcentral. Lineage: Eukaryota; Metazoa; Chordata; Mammalia; Primates; Hominidae.
GCUGGGUGUGGUGGCGAGCACCUGUAAUCCCAGCUACUGGGGAGGCUGAGGCAGAAGAAUCACUUGAACCCGGGAGGCGGAGGCUGCAGUGAGCCAAGAUGGCGCCACUGCACUCCAGCCUGGGUGACAGGGUGAGACUCUGUCUCAA